UAUAUAUAAGUAAAUAUUGUUGACUAUUUAUUAUUCGCUAAAAUAUGUCCAAUUUUUUAUCUUGUGACAAUACGCUGAGAAGAGUAAUAAGUUAAGUUAGAUUGAGCCCAAUAAAUUGAAUAGAAUUACAGUCUAUAUUAGAUAUAACAACAAGGAACUUAAUAAUAAACUUAACGUCCAAAUGAGUUAAAUUAUGUCAAAGCCCAUAAACUCACUUUUCAGUCAGUUGAUUAACGUCGACAAUCAUAACUACACAUGUUAUGCAUGUCAUAUCUGUGUUGGCACAAAUUGGGGUACUAUCCAUAGCACCGAGGAUUUGGUGCCAUCGAGUUUUCCACCGUUAGAUUUAAUCCUUUGAUUAUUUUUACCCGUUAGAUUAUACUAUUCAACUAACCACUCACUCAAGCAUACGGGGCCCACAUCAUCCUAACCAUCCAUUUCUCAAUCCAAGGACAAAAAAAUCAAUAGCACCAAUAGCUUAGUACUGUUGAUAGUAUUCCAGCCUAGUUAUAUAUAUAUAUAUAUAUAUAUAUAUAUAUAU
This 541-nucleotide long non-coding RNA is filed under the name Ananas comosus (pineapple). RNAcentral describes it as "long non-coding RNA (ACOM_LNC035899)". Lineage: Eukaryota; Viridiplantae; Streptophyta; Magnoliopsida; Poales; Bromeliaceae. The record is from RNAcentral.